CCCGGAUGGCUCCGCGUUCCCUCCCUCCCGCCGCCCCGAACGGGAAGUCACCGGCUCGCGCGAGCACAGCUCGUGCCCGAGAGAGUAGCCGAGGGUGAUAGAUGGGGCGCGCGAACCAGGACCAGCAGGUAGCAGGAAAGCUGAUAACUCCUCUGAGCGUUUCAGUUCUCUGCAAAUGAUUCUUCAACCAUCUUUCCGGAGUUUGACCUUGGCUUUUAUAUGGCAUCCAUCAUUGUCUUGUCUGAAAACGUAAAGAGAACAGGAGCGAUUUUCACAGAUCAUCGGUGAACAAAAGUGACUCUUGAGAACCUCUGCACUGCUACAAACACAUAGUGUAGUUAGAGCUAGUCUGCAUGAUGCUGGAAGCACACAAAUAUCUGGCCCUCUUAGUAGCAGAUAUACGGCAAUGUAAGAGCUGAGGGUGCAAUCACUAGCUUCCUCUAUCCACUUGUUGCCAUAAUUGAAUAUGUUUUUAACAGCGUCUCACUGUGGCAAGGCCAGAAUCCAAGAGAGAUAGGAACAGGGGAUGGUAGGUUGGUUUCCCUCUCAUCUAUAAGAGGUUUUUUCAUUAUUGUUGGGUCUAAGAGACCUUAGACCUUGCAUGAUUUUUUUUUCCAGACAGGUGGAAAGUGUUGUGUCAAGGUGUGUGUGUGUGGGGGCGGGGGGACUGCAAAAUUCAAGUCAAAACAAGUUGACUUCUCACAACGUUUUCAAAAAUAUUAUUUAUUUUCCCCCACCCCCCUUCCUUCUCAUAACCUCCAUUGGUUUUAACAGCAGUGGAAUUGUUUUCGACACUUCUAUUACUGACCUUGCAGAUGUCCCAAGGCAAUCUGUGCUUAAAGUGUUAAUGCUCCCCCUACACACAGACCCAUAGUCAAUCCAUACCCUUCAGGAUGUCCUUCUCUUGAUAAUGCCCGCAUAAAUAUGAUGGUUUGAGGCAGAAGAAAAAUUGCAGGAUACCAGCUAGAGCAUCUAAAUGCUGCCUCAUCAUACAAAGGCACUUUAUAUUGUUCUCAUACAUCCUAGCAGCCAUUUUACAAAUGCCAAAGGGCACUUAGUGCUGGAUACAGAGACAGGAAGGAGAGAUGAGAAAGAAGUGCCUAUUAUUUCUUACCAAAAUGAAUCUGCAUCUCUAAUGGGAUACAAUGCCAGGCUUAUUACAACUAACCAGUCAGUCAGUGCUGAAGGAGAAAAGGCUGUAUGUGGGAUGGCAAGGGGAAACAAAGACUGGGAGAGAUUAAAGAAUGAGGACUCAGAUUCACAGAGUGUUCUGGUCACAUUUUCUUUGGAAAUACUUCAUUUCAGCACCACAUCGGAGAAGAUCACCUGAAACUUUCUUGAUCAACACAGCGGGAAGAGACUACUUCAUUGUACAAAGAAGUUUCCAUAGAUGACAGUCAUCAGCUAGUCCUUUCAGAUUUCAAUUCAAUAAGAUAUAAUGGCCAUGUAUGUUUUAUUGUGCAUAUUUUGGGCUGAACUAAUCCUUGCUGAAACACCACUAGGUCAAUGGAGUUACACCCAGGAUUGAGUUAGCUGAUUUUGCUUCAGUGCAGCAAAACACUGUACCUGCUUCAUUAUCUAAAACGAAUUAGCUAGGGCUACCUGCCUCCUGGUGCAGUAAUGUGUAAAAUAAUGCAGCUCGUCUGCUUGCCCUAGAGCCAUAUUCUGGAUUUUGGACAACAUUAAAUUGCAGCAAUAAUUCUUGUACUGGAAUGCAACAACAAUGCAAUAAAGUUGGCAUUUUAAAAAGCAUUAAAGCUCACCAUUUAGUGACACCCCCAAUCCCGACAGGCAACAGGUGUCCUCUAUGUAUUACUGACAAUAUUUCUCUCAAGCUCAUCCCAUCUUUAGAUGGGUGUUUCUGGGUUUCCGGUUGUCCCAGACCCUACUGAUAUUUUCUCCUGAUCCAACCAAAGAAGCAAAGCAGCCAACAGACACAGCUCUGGACAUUCAGGAGCUAAAACUUUGAGGUCAAAGACAUUUAUUCCAACCCAUCAGGUCUCCAGCCCCUCACCAUGGAGAUAGGUCCUCUUCCUAUAAUCAGGAGAGGUUUACCCGGCUGCCUUCUUCUUAUGAGGCUAAGGAGGAUUCUUCUGCAACCAAGGCAGUGACACAAAGAUGCGGCUGCUUAUUUAAUUGGGCAAGUCUGUAGAACUCAAUUUAAGUUCCUUAAAUGCCAGAAACUUCUUGGGAACGCUCAUCAGGGGAAUGUUACAAUACCAGGCCUGAGCUUUCCAGACAUCAGUCCCGAGAAACAUCUCCUCUGCUGCGUGUAAGUAGAAGGAAGACCCACAGCACAGCCAAUUGCUUGAAUUUACGGGAAUGAGGCUGUCCUUCCUACAGUUUGUAUAGCAGUAUCUAUUUGUCAUUUAAAAUGGGAACCUUCCUUUUCUAGCCUUUGUUUAGCUCUGAUACUAGAGAGGCAAUUUGACAUUCCUUUGAUUUGUGGAGAGCACAUAAAUGUUAUAAUAAUACAUAGCACUUCACAUAUUCAAAGCACCUUGCAAACUUUAUGUACUAGGCACUAUCAUAAUGGUACUUUAGCUUCUGUAGAUCCUGUAUUCAGCUAGAGUUCUCAGUACACAGUGGCUGCUAAGUAAAUCUGAUGGCAGCCUGCAAUUUUUAUCUAAUGUGUUUAUUUCCCCACUAAUACUACAAUGCUACACAGAGCCUAUUAGGCUAAACUGGUGGUAUCAGGCAUCCUACUAGAAAGAAAAAUUGUACUUAGUUUCUGGGAGUUAAAAGCUAUAGAUCUGGAAGACUUGCGUCUCCCCUCCAAGUUGGAUGGAUUUUUCUAGUAAUCAAGAGCUGUAUUAGUUUGCAAUAUUUGUUUUAUCGUUUAUAAAGAUUCUGGUGCUUCCAAGUUUCUACAGUUCUCCUUCAUGUCUUCUUGUAGUGUUCUACAAGAUUAAAGGAGCUUCCUUUUUACUUGGGAUUAACUGAGGCUGCUCACUGGGCAAAGGAAAAGCCUGUGAUGUCACAGAACCUUAUCACAUCCCAACAAGUCUAUGCCUUUUUACUACUCCCUCUAAUUAGUUGAUGCAGCAGCAUGCUUUCCAAACCCCAUAAUUCCAGGCUAGUGCUUGUAAUGCCAGAACCCGAAUGACCAGAUAACCCUUUUCUUUCAGGACACUGAAAUGCUCACUAAUUUGUUCAAAAAAUCAAGCCAAGCAGUGACAUUCUGUAGACAAAUCAAUGGGAUUUUUAGUAUUUAUUUCAACAAGGAUCUGGACUUCUGCAAGUUGAUCAUCUUAUCAGUCACAAAAAACAAACACCAGCUCCCCCCUUUCACAAAAAUGUCUCCCUACCCGAUAUAUUCAUACCCAAAGUUAUCUCCUUAAACCCCACCUGCACGCUAGGUUGAGGAAGCUUUCAUUUAAAAGAAGUCUCUUUUGAUUUUUAAAUUCCACAGAGUGCAUAGAAUCUUAAUGCACACAAGCAAUACAGCAAUGUACAGCUGCAAUUAACUGUCCAUCUAAUGAACCAGUCCCUCUAUUCUAGCUUGAAGUCCCACUGAAGUCAAUAGAACUUAUUUGCAUCAACUGAGGAUCUGGAAUGUUUUACAGUGGUCAUGUACUUCUCAGCAAAGUGGACCUGGAUUCUGAAGCACUCUAGUGUGGCUGAUUGGAAAUUCCCCUGCUCCUAGACACCACAUUUCACCCACAACUUCAUUCACCAAUUGACUCCAUUCCCCUUUCACUCAGCCCUCCCAACCUAACUUAUCCACUCCUGGUCUCAGAACCUAAGCCCCCUCAGCUGCUUCCAACCCAAACCCCACCUGCUCAGAAACAUGCCCCCCACUUCCCACACCUAUCUAACUACGGACAGCCGCCUCCUCCACUUAACCACUCCACAGCUCAGAACCCUCUCCUACCCAACACUCUCUCAAGCUCAGAAAAAGCAUUCCCAGACUCAGAAACCUUGUCCCUCGUGCCUGACAGCCACCACCUGCAGCUCAGAAAUACCCUGUCACUGUGCUGGGUCUGGAAAAGAAAGAGUACAAGUUGUAGUGACCAUGUGUAGACUCUGUAUAGGACUCUAUACUCUUCUUGUGGAGCUAGCCGCAUCAAAACCUGCAUUCCCUGUGCUAGCCCUCUUUCCUAUAAAGCUUGCAGUCUAUAUGCUACAAGUUGGAAAUCACCCAUUGGCAGAUAAGUGUACUGCAAGCUCCACUAUAUCAGCCACAUUACGCUGCUGUGAUCUUAGUGGUGGUGCUUAGCCUCGUUAGCCCCUUUUCACCAGUCAUCCCUGUUUGGGUGACCAUCUUUAGGUUUCAGAGUCAACAACACAUUGAAAUAAAGAGUCAAUUCACACCUUUCAGAAUCAUUGUUUUGCAAGCCCAUGAAGACAGCAUGACAUGAGUUUGCACUCAUUUCACAUUUUCAAUAUCAUCUUUGUAACCAUAAGCACUAGAAACUUUUUAUUAAAAAAGGAUUCUUUAGAUGUUGAAAUACAAUUACAUGGCAAGGGGUGGAGAUGGGCAUGAGAUACCCAGGGCCCUGGAGUUGAUUUGGUAAUUGCAAGCUCUUUCUGGAUCAAAAUAUACAAGGAGAAAAAGGUAAGGAAUCAAAGGGUAGGUCUACACUUACCUCCGGG
Molecule: long non-coding RNA, 4596 nt
Organism: Trachemys scripta elegans
Lineage: Eukaryota; Metazoa; Chordata; Testudines; Emydidae
Exons: 5
Source: RefSeq, a predicted model, not a curated record